Long non-coding RNA from Melanotaenia boesemani (Boeseman's rainbowfish), 99 nucleotides. RefSeq lists it as uncharacterized. The record is from RefSeq and is a predicted model, not a curated record. NCBI's taxonomy places the organism in Eukaryota, Metazoa, Chordata, Actinopteri, Atheriniformes, Melanotaeniidae. The transcript has 3 exons.
GGUGUGAAGUGUGUUUGUCUUGCACGUGUGCCUGGGGUGGCCUUUGUUUGGAUCCCCUCACCUCAUAUAGCCCACCUAUCUCCUGAGGUGCAAGGUAUA